This 54-nucleotide transfer RNA is filed under the name Trissolcus japonicus. RNAcentral's name for it is "tRNA-Arg". Lineage: Eukaryota; Metazoa; Arthropoda; Insecta; Hymenoptera; Scelionidae. The record is from RNAcentral.
AAAUGAUUAUAUUUAAUUUCGACUUAAAUUUAGUAAGUAAAAUCUUGCCAUUUA